UGCGUAGGCGGGCUAAUAAGUCAGUGGUGAAAUCUCUCGGCUCAACCGGGAAACUGCCAUUGAUACUGUUAGUCUUGAGUUCGGUUGAGGUAGGCGGAAUGUGUAAUGUAGCGGUGAAAUGCUUAGAUAUUACACAGAACACCAAUUGCGUAGGCAGCUUACUAGACCGACACUGACGCUGAGGCACGAAAGCGUGGGGAGCGAACAGGAUUAGAUACCCUUGGUAGUCC
RNAcentral lists this ribosomal RNA (230 nucleotides) under uncultured bacterium. RNAcentral's name for it is "partial 16S ribosomal RNA". It matches the Rfam family "Bacterial small subunit ribosomal RNA", at positions 568 to 796 of the family's 1533-position model. The record is from RNAcentral.